UACAUGUCCCUUUAUAUUAUACCUUCAC
Molecule: small RNA, 28 nt
Filed under: Bombyx mori (domestic silkworm)
Lineage: Eukaryota; Metazoa; Arthropoda; Insecta; Lepidoptera; Bombycidae
Description: ovarian small RNA-20437
Source: RNAcentral